AACGCACAUUGCGCCCCUUGGUAUUCCGAGGGGCAUGCCUGUUCGAGCGUCAUUUCAACCCUCAAGCUCUGCUUGGUGUUGGGACCCGCGGUGUCCGCGGUCCCUAAAAUCAGUGGCGGUGCCGCCUGGCUCCAAGCGUAGUGAUUAUCUCUCGCUAUGGUGUCUAGGUGGUGCCCGCCGUGAAACAUUUAAUUUUUCUAUGGUUGACCUCGGAUCAGGUAGGGAUACCCGCUGAACUUAA
This 241-nucleotide unclassified non-coding RNA is filed under the name uncultured fungus. RNAcentral describes it as "partial contains 5.8S ribosomal RNA, internal transcribed spacer 2, and large subunit ribosomal RNA". The stretch from base 1 to 52 matches the Rfam family "5.8S ribosomal RNA", at positions 103 to 154 of the family's 154-position model. Lineage: Eukaryota; Fungi. The record is from RNAcentral.